RNAcentral lists this unclassified non-coding RNA (937 nucleotides) under Mesorhizobium sp. T-8-Telhado. RNAcentral's name for it is "partial contains 16S-23S ribosomal RNA intergenic spacer and 23S ribosomal RNA". The stretch from base 242 to 315 matches the Rfam family "tRNA". Lineage: Bacteria; Pseudomonadati; Pseudomonadota; Alphaproteobacteria; Hyphomicrobiales; Phyllobacteriaceae. The record is from RNAcentral.
AGUUCUCUUGGAACAAGACGGAAGAGAGUCACUCUUACCGUCGCGCAUACCUUAAGCGGGUCUGCCGCCUUCGUUUCUCUUUCUUCAGCGAAUGACUUUGGAUCAGCGCUCGCGCGCCGUACCGCGGCCCUUUGGGCCGCUGGCGCUCCGCGAGGGCGCGGCAUAAGCCGCGACGGCCGGUCGGCCUUGCGAGGCUUUGCCUCGAGGUCACCAGCUCGUUACUGGCAGAGCGCGGUCUUUAGGGCUUGUAGCUCAGUUGGUUAGAGCGCGCGCUUGAUAAGCGUGAGGUCGGAGGUUCAAGUCCUCCCAGGCCCACCACUUCGCAAUCCGCAAGGAUUGUCGAAUCUCCUUGAUGCCUGCCAUCUUCUUGAUGGCUAAUCGGGACAACAAUCAGGGGCCGUAGCUCAGCUGGGAGAGCGCCUGCUUUGCAAGCAGGAUGUCGUCGGUUCGAUCCCGUCCGGCUCCACCACUUUCUUCUCUGGAAGAGAGGGUGUCGAGUAGAGAUGAGACAAAAGUCAUUCGAAAAAAGGUUUGUGGUGAGCUUCUUGGCUUGCCGCUUGUUCUGUUUGACAUCGUAAAGAGAAGAUUUGUUCGAACUUCAUGAUCCGAAAGGUUCAUGAUUUGUCGCGGGAGACGCUCAAUCUCCCGCAUAUGAUGGGUUUGCCUAACCGCGCCCUCGAACCGAUCUCGAGAAGCUGGUCUUUUUGUGUCAAUGACAUCGAAUUGGAUCCCGCACAGGAUCUGGUUCAGGCGACAAUCCUUCGGAUUGCGCGGACGCUAAGCUCGCAAGGGUUUGGCUGAAGCGACAAUCCUUCGGAUUGCGCAGAUGGGCAUUGGCAAUGAGAACGAUCAAGUGUCUUAAGGGCAAUUGGUGGAUGCCUUGGCAUGCACAGGCGAUGAAGGACGUGAUACGCUGCGAUAAGCUACGGGAGGUGCG